AUGAGGAUGUUGCGGAUGGCUGGUGUCCCCAGAGGACGUACUCCUUGACCUUUUGGGGCCUGGAGACCUGGGGCGGUGGCCGCCCGUGGGAAUUGCAGAGGACAGUUGUUCCUGUACCCGCUGAGCAGGUGGUUGUCCCCGCCAGGCCCUGGCAGUGCGCACGUUCCCGAGCUGUCCAGGCCGGACUGACAGCCAAGUCCCCGGCAUUUGUGCGCAGAACUCAAGUGGUCCACCUGGACACGCUGUACCCGCGCGCGGGUGACCUUGACCAUCUCCACACAGUGUUUUCCCGGAAAGAACCCUGGGAGCGCGGUCUGCCCUGAUCGCUGGCAGGGGAGACCCUGCAGAGAGCGGCUGGAAGGUACUGGUUGAGCUCUCUUUGAAGUCUGCCUGAUCUGGCUUGAUCUGGCUUCUUGCAGUGUUUUCGUGAAUGUAUGCUGUGCGCGUGCAUAUGCUCAAAGAGGCCAGAAGAGGGCAUCAGACACCUUGGAGCUGGAGUUCCAGGCAGCCUGGUUGGAGUCUUUGGAGCGGGUUAUAGGCCAGGCUGGAAAAGAGUUCUCCUGAAGAUCAGGAAAGGGCCUGACAGCCGAGCGCUCUCCAGCUCCAGUCCCUUACAUUUUGUCUCUGAAUUGUGGCGUCCUUUCCUCCUCCAUUUCUUUGGUCAUGACCUCAAAUUCUGUGUUUUGGUGCAAGGUGUAUGUGAAUGAAAAGAUAAACAAAGAGCACAUUCAAUGUCUUUGCGAGGAACACGGUGUCUGUUAACUCCUAAAGCAGUGUUUUAAGACAGGGCUUGCUCAAAGCCUGCAGAGACGUAUUUCUAACAUUUCAACAGUAGAGGGCAGCACUGCCCUUUUUUGGAAAAUAUUGAGGGGGCAACCACCAAUUGCGAUUUUUGUUUUUAGUUUUACUUUAUCCGUACAUGUUCUUUUAAAUUUUUAUUUUCCUUAUUGAGUAUGUGAUUUUAUAGAAAUAAUUUAGUAUUUUCUGUUGCUUAGUACGGGAAGACCGAGUGAUUGGUGAAAAACAGGUUUCAGGUGUCUUGCCCAGGUUCUGUCUGACAAAGGUAAACAAUGGCUUGACCUUAGGUAACCAGAUAGCGGUAUGUAUGAACAAAGUAAAUGCUUCUGAACUUUCUAGCUAGAAGUCCUUCUGAAGCAGGAUGGGGUUUUGUUUUUAAGUGGUGUAAAUCAUAUGGUCAUAAUCCUGAUGAUGGCUUCUACGUUCUUCCUCACUGAUUUCAUUCUGCUGUGGCAAUGCCCAUUUCUGGCACAUGUCGGACAGAUCAGGGCAAUCACUGGCGGAACACAGGUAUUGUGACUUUAAGGAAAGAUGCUCCUCAGGUGGGGGAGGAACUUUGCUGAAGCUGGAGUUGACUGAAAGUGUGCAGAAACAGCCCCUGAGAUAGUCUUGUAUGCUAGCCCCAUCCUAUUACUAUGACUUGAAUUUCUCUCACCAAUAAAAGCGAAA
Microtus oregoni (creeping vole) is the source of this 1467-nucleotide long non-coding RNA. RefSeq lists it as uncharacterized. The transcript is spliced from 3 exons. The record is from RefSeq and is a predicted model, not a curated record. Lineage: Eukaryota; Metazoa; Chordata; Mammalia; Rodentia; Cricetidae.